CAGAGCUCAAAUUUGAAAGCUGGCCCCUUCGGGGUCCGCGUUGUAAUUUGCAGAGGAUGCUUCGGGUGCAGCCCCCGUCUAAGUGCCCUGGAACGGGCCGUCAUACAGGGUGAGAAUCCCGUCUGGGACGGGGUGUCUGCGUCCGUGUGAAGCUCCUUCGACGAGUCGAGUUGUUUGGGAAUGCAGCUCUAAAUGGGUGGUAAAUUUCAUCUAAAGCUAAAUACUGGCCGGAGACCGAUAGCGCACAAGUAGAGUGAUCGAAAGAUGAAAAGCACUUUGAAAAGAGAGUUAAACAGCACGUGAAAUUGUUGAAAGGGAAGCGUUUGCGACCAGACUCGCCCGCGGGGUUCAGCCGGCAUUCGUGCCGGUGUACUUCCCCGUGGGCGGGCCAGCGUCGGUUUGGGCGGCCGGUCAAAGGCCCUCGGAAUGUAUCACCUCUCGGGGUGUCUUAUANCCGAGGGUGCAAUGCGGCCUGCCUGGACCGAGGAACGCGCUUCGGCUCGGACGCUGGCGUAAUGGUCGUAAAUGACCCGUCUUGAAACACGGACCAAGGAGUCUAACAUCUACGCGAGUGUUCGGGUGUCAAACCCGUACGCGCAGUGAAA
Molecule: ribosomal RNA, 605 nt
Filed under: soil fungal sp. DM2-447
Lineage: Eukaryota; Fungi
Description: eukaryotic LSU rRNA
Rfam family: Eukaryotic large subunit ribosomal RNA
Source: RNAcentral